AUUUCUUUGUAUGCUUUGCUUAUGGUUUAAUCGAUAAAUCAUAAAGCGACGAAUACACCGCUACAGAGAGGAUUAAAUACUAGAAUAUUGGAAAAUUUGCUCACAAGGAGAUCUCUUCACUGGGAAUGACUGAACAAUCUGGUUUUUUGUGCAGGGCAGCUGCUGGGGAUUUGAAUGUUAUUUGGUAUAUGGACACUUAUGAGAGGUUAGGUAGGCAUGACAUAUGCAACAUGCAAAUUCAUUAUGAUUUAUUUAUUUUUUGUCUUUCUCUUAGCUUUUUCUCUUUUUUUUCUUAUUCUUUCUUUUUUUCAUUUUCUGUUUUCAUCUCUUUUUCAUUCUUUU
RNAcentral lists this long non-coding RNA (342 nucleotides) under Lathyrus oleraceus (garden pea). RNAcentral's name for it is "Pisum sativum (pea) long non-coding RNA (PSAT_LNC020636)". The record is from RNAcentral. Lineage: Eukaryota; Viridiplantae; Streptophyta; Magnoliopsida; Fabales; Fabaceae.